CAUCAUUCAACGACGCCAUCCACGCUCCUCUGGAAAACAGAGACAAUGAAAACAACAGAUAAUUGCAACAGAGUGACACUAGUCUAUCUGACAGCACUAAUUCCAUUAGUAGCAAUGGAAACCACAGCACGCAAUUCAAGGACUGGCUCAUUUGCACGUUGUUCGUCAUGUUUUAAGGAUGAAAGUCCAUGUGACAUCAAUAGUACAACGCUCUACGACAACCACACUAUCGUGCAAUGUAGCAAAGCUGAUGAAG
Molecule: long non-coding RNA, 256 nt
Organism: Corticium candelabrum
Lineage: Eukaryota; Metazoa; Porifera; Homoscleromorpha; Homosclerophorida; Plakinidae
Exons: 3
Source: RefSeq, a predicted model, not a curated record